UGGUAAUGCCGGAUGCUCCAGUUGAUCGCAUGGUCUUCUGGGAAAGCUUUCGCGGUAUGGGAUGGGGUCGCGUCCUAUCAGCUUGACGGCGGGGUAACGGCCCACCGUGGCUUCGACGGGUAGCCGGCCUGAGAGGGCGACCGGCCACAUUGGGACUGAGAUACGGCCCAGACUCCUACGGGAGGCAGCAGUGGGGAAUAUUGCACAAUGGGCGCAAGCCUGAUGCAGCGACGCCGCGUGAGGGAUGGAGGCCUUCGGGUUGUAAACCUCUUUUAUCGGGGAGCAAGCGAGAGUGAGUUUACCCGUUGAAUAAGCACCGGCUAACUACGUGCCAGCAGCCGCGGUAAUACGUAGGGUGCAAGCGUUAUCCGGAAUUAUUGGGCGUAAAGGGCUCGUAGGCGGUUCGUCGCGUCCGGUGUGAAAGUCCAUCGCUUAACGGUGGAUCCGCGCCGGGUACGGGCGGGCUUGAGUGCGGUAGGGGAGACUGGAAUUCCCGGUGUAACGGUGGAAUGUGUAGAUAUCGGAAA
RNAcentral lists this ribosomal RNA (527 nucleotides) under Bifidobacterium longum subsp. infantis. Its description in RNAcentral is "bacterial SSU rRNA". It matches the Rfam family "Bacterial small subunit ribosomal RNA", at positions 161 to 703 of the family's 1533-position model. The record is from RNAcentral. RNAcentral also lists the same sequence under 1 other name. Lineage: Bacteria; Bacillati; Actinomycetota; Actinomycetes; Bifidobacteriales; Bifidobacteriaceae.